Molecule: ribosomal RNA, 375 nt
Filed under: uncultured bacterium
Lineage: Bacteria
Description: bacterial SSU rRNA
Rfam family: Bacterial small subunit ribosomal RNA
Source: RNAcentral
AAUGAACGUUGGCGGCGUGGAUUAGGCAUGCAAGUCGAACGGGCCACGGGUAGCAAUACUUGUGGUCAGUGGCGUAAGGGAGAGUAAUACGUAGGUAUUUACCCUGGGGUCUGGGAUAGCGGCGGGAAACUGCCGGUAAUACCAGAUGAUAUCUCCGGAUCAAAGGUGUGAUUCCGCCCUAGGAGAAGCCUGCGGUCUAUUAGCUAGUUGGUAGGGUAACGGCCUACCAAGGCAGAGAUGGAUAUGGGGGCUGAGAGCGUGCCCCAUCACUGGGACUGAGACACUGCCCAGACACCUACGGGUGCUGCAGUCGAGAAUCUUCGGCAAUGGGCNCAAGCCUGACCGAGCGACGCCGCGUGCGGGAUGAAGGCCUUA